UACGUAGGGUGCGAGCGUUAAUCGGAAUUACUGGGCGUAAAGCGUGCGCAGGCGGUUUUGUAAGCCAGAUGUGAAAUCCCCGGGCUCAACCUGGGAAUGGCAUUUGGGACUGCAAGGCUCGAGUGCGGCAGAGGAGACUGGAAUUCCUGGUGUAGCAGUGAAAUGCGUAGAUAUCAGGAGGAAUACCGAUGGCGAAGGCAGGUCACUGGGCCGCAACUGACGCUGAGGAGCGAAAGCAUGGGGAGCGAACGGG
RNAcentral lists this ribosomal RNA (253 nucleotides) under uncultured bacterium. Its description in RNAcentral is "partial 16S ribosomal RNA". It matches the Rfam family "Bacterial small subunit ribosomal RNA", at positions 524 to 776 of the family's 1533-position model. The record is from RNAcentral.